UGGACCAAACACAAAUUCAUUUUAAACUUAUAAUCGAGUAUAGGUUUAUCUAAUUUUGAUUAUUAUCAUUUUCAUAUGUCAACACCAUCACAACCACUCUACUUUUAAACCACACCCUAUCUUACUCAUUCUUGACCUCACCCACGAAUCCCUCUUCCAAAAUCCAUUUCAUAUGCUUUUCUUUUUCUCUCUCUUCCACCAUCAUCCCUGUCCCCGUCUCUUCCAUCUUCACAACCGUGAGAGAUUGAACCAAACGACCCAAAGCCAUAGCCUUUGAUUUCUCGCUCCCACCCAUUUAAAUCUGGUUCAUGAACCUAUGCAAAACUUCAUGAUUAUGUGUUUGCGAUGGAAGGAAUUUGAGUCUCGCGAUUCUGAUGCGCAAUGGUUCAACGAGAGAAUAAGAACACUAAGCUUGAGAAUUGAGAAAUAAGAGAAUCAAGAGUUAUUUUGUUGUUGUUGUGGGAAGUUGGUGAGGUUGGUGUGAGGCUUUUCUUAAAUCUUCUUCCUCUUUUAGUUCUCUGCAACAUCCACAUUGAAUAGUGUCUACAGAUUCCAUGGAGUCCGACACCUACUUUGGUUCUUAAGGCACUCCUCCACACUGAGAGGACAGUUAGAAGUUGUUAAUGAUCAUUUAUACGCAUCUCUUUAUUGAACAAGAGCAGAGGUUUACUUCGAAUCAUGCUGCUAAAAAAAUGUUGAAUUACUCACAAGAAUUACAGACAAAAAAAAAUGAAACUAGAUAGUCUCCAAGCUUUAGGCAUCAUUGAAACUUAAUUACCAAAUUAGAGACUAGUUUCACCGUUUUCCAUUAAUGAUUCAGGCGGAAAGUCAUGUGUUUAAAUGAAGAGGAUCCAAGUUAACUUUGAUCAUUAAUAGGUGGUAAAAAUUAGCAACUUCCUAAGUUCUCAAAACUAAACUGAAUACUUAACUGAUGCAAUAGAACAGAGUUGAUUUAUAUUGCAGACACAGUAUAAGUUAUACAAACUAACUAGUAAAGUACCGAAUUAGAAUAAUUUCGAAUUGCUAUUUACAAGUGGUAUUUCGAUGAGUAGCACCUAGUACUGUAAUGCUACACCCAUUCAAAAACAAGCUGUUCUUACAUGCCCCCGAAAAGGGAAAAUAAAUAAAUAUAAAUGAAAUUUUGUGCAA
This is a long non-coding RNA of Cicer arietinum (chickpea), 1149 nucleotides long. RefSeq lists it as uncharacterized. The record is from RefSeq and is a predicted model, not a curated record. NCBI's taxonomy places the organism in Eukaryota, Viridiplantae, Streptophyta, Magnoliopsida, Fabales, Fabaceae.